AUUGAACGCUGGCGGCAGGCCUAACACAUGCAAGUCGAGCGGAUGAAGGGAGCUUGCUCCUGGAUUCAGCGGCGGACGGGUGAGUAAUGCCUAGGAAUCUGCCUGGUAGUGGGGGCUAACGUCCGGAAACGGGCGCUAAUACCGCAUACGUCCUGAGGGAGAAAGUGGGGGAUCUUCGGACCUCACGCUAUCAGAUGAGCCUAGGUCGGAUUAGCUAGUUGGUGGGGUAAAGGCCUACCAAGGCGACGAUCCGUAACUGGUCUGAGAGGAUGAUCAGUCACACUGGAACUGAGACACGGUCCAGACUCCUACGGGAGGCAGCAGUGGGGAAUAUUGGACAAUGGGCGAAAGCCUGAUCCAGCCAUGCCGCGUGUGUGAAGAAGGUCUUCGGAUUGUAAAGCACUUUAAGUUGGGAGGAAGGGCAGUAAGUUAAUACCUUGCUGUCUUGACGUUACCAACAGAAUAAGCACCGGCUAACUUCGUG
RNAcentral lists this ribosomal RNA (484 nucleotides) under uncultured bacterium. Its description in RNAcentral is "partial 16S ribosomal RNA". It matches the Rfam family "Bacterial small subunit ribosomal RNA", at positions 30 to 507 of the family's 1533-position model. The record is from RNAcentral.